UAGGGAAUAUUGCACAAUGGGGGAAACCCUGAUGCAGCGACGCCGCGUGAGUGAUGAAGGCCUUCGGGUCGUAAAGCUCUGUCGUAUGGGACUAACAAAAUGAAGGUACCAUGCAAGAAAGGAUCGGCUAACUUCGUGCCAGCAGCCGCGGUAAGACGAGGGAUCCUAGCGUUGUUCGGAAUUAUUGGGCGUAAAGCGGGUGUAGGCGGACUUAUAAGUCAGGUGUGAAAUCCCAGGGCUCAACCCUGGAAGUGCACUUGAUACUGCAAGUCUUGAGUGUGGUAGAGGCUAUUAGAAUUCUUGGUGUAGUGGUGAAAUACGUAGAUAUCAAGAGGAAUACCGGAGGCGAAGGCGGAUAGCUGGGCCAACACUGACGCUGAGACCCGAAAGCGUGGGGAUCAAACAGGAUUAGAUACCCCAGUAGUCCCUGAGCGGGCUGGCAAGGCGCAU
This 450-nucleotide ribosomal RNA is filed under the name uncultured bacterium. RNAcentral describes it as "bacterial SSU rRNA". It matches the Rfam family "Bacterial small subunit ribosomal RNA", at positions 355 to 825 of the family's 1533-position model. The record is from RNAcentral.